This 543-nucleotide ribosomal RNA is filed under the name Bifidobacterium adolescentis. RNAcentral's name for it is "bacterial SSU rRNA". It matches the Rfam family "Bacterial small subunit ribosomal RNA", at positions 158 to 711 of the family's 1533-position model. Lineage: Bacteria; Bacillati; Actinomycetota; Actinomycetes; Bifidobacteriales; Bifidobacteriaceae. The record is from RNAcentral.
GGGUGGUAAUGCCGGAUGCUCCAGUUGGACGCAUGGUCUUCUGGGAAAGAUUCAGCGGUAUGGGAUGGGGUCGCGUCCUAUCAGCUUGAUGGCGGGGUAACGGCCCACCAUGGCUUCGACGGGUAGCCGGCCUGAGAGGGCGACCGGCCACAUUGGGACUGAGAUACGGCCCAGACUCCUACGGGAGGCAGCAGUGGGGAAUAUUGCACAAUGGGCGCAAGCCUGAUGCAGCGACGCCGCGUGCGGGAUGACGGCCUUCGGGUUGUAAACCGCUUUUGACUGGGAGCAAGCCCUUCGGGGUGAGUGUACCUUUCGAAUAAGCACCGGCUAACUACGUGCCAGCAGCCGCGGUAAUACGUAGGGUGCAAGCGUUAUCCGGAAUUAUUGGGCGUAAAGGGCUCGUAGGCGGUUCGUCGCGUCCGGUGUGAAAGUCCAUCGCUUAACGGUGGAUCCGCGCCGGGUACGGGCGGGCUUGAGUGCGGUAGGGGAGACUGGAAUUCCCGGUGUAACGGUGGAAUGUGUAGAUAUCGGAAAAAAACACCA